GACGAACGCUGGCGGCGUGCUUAACACAUGCAAGUCGAACGGAAAGGCCCUGCUUGCCGGGUGCUCGAGUGGCGAACGGGUGAGUAACACGUGGGUGAUCUGCCCCUUACUUUGGGAUAAGCCUGGGAAACUGGGUCUAAUACUGGAUAGGACCAUGCUGUAGGUGGUGUGGUGGAAAGAUUAGUUUCGGUAAGGGAUGAGCUCGCGGCCUAUCAACUUGUUGGUGGGGUAAUGGCCUACCAAGGCGUCGACGGGUAGCCGGCCUGAGAGGGUGGACGGCCACAUUGGGACUGAGAUACGGCCCAGACUCCUACGGGAGGCAGCAGUGGGGCAGAUUGCACACUGGGCGCAAGCCUGAUGCAGCGACGCCGCGUGGGGGAUGACGGCCUUCGGGUUGUAAACUCCUUUCAGCCAUGACGAAGCCCUUGUGGUGACGGUAGUGGUAGAAGAAGCACCGGCUCACUACGUG
RNAcentral lists this ribosomal RNA (469 nucleotides) under uncultured bacterium. RNAcentral describes it as "partial 16S ribosomal RNA". It matches the Rfam family "Bacterial small subunit ribosomal RNA", at positions 28 to 507 of the family's 1533-position model. The record is from RNAcentral.